RNAcentral lists this unclassified non-coding RNA (335 nucleotides) under soil metagenome. RNAcentral describes it as "partial contains 5.8S ribosomal RNA, internal transcribed spacer 2, and large subunit ribosomal RNA". The stretch from base 1 to 120 matches the Rfam family "5.8S ribosomal RNA", at positions 35 to 154 of the family's 154-position model. The record is from RNAcentral.
GAUGAAGAACGCAGCGAAAUGCGAUAAGUAAUGUGAAUUGCAGAAUUCAGUGAAUCAUCGAAUCUUUGAACGCACAUUGCGCCCGCCAGUAUUCUGGCGGGCAUGCCUGUUCGAGCGUCAUUUCAACCAUCAAGCCCCCGGCUUGUGUUGGGGACCUGCGGCUGCCGCAGGCCCUGAAAAGCAGUGGCGGGCUCGCUGUCACACCGAGCGUAGUAGCAUACAUCUCGCUCUGGGCGUGCUGCGGGUUCCGGCCGUUAAACCACCUUCAUAACCAAGGUUGACCUCGGAUCAGGUAGGAAGACCCGCUGAACUUAAGCAUAUCAAUAAGCGGAGGA